AGAGUAUUCGAAAACAAUAUGCAUUCUUAUGAUUAAAAGAAACAGAGCAAUAUCUAAAAUUUAUGUAGUAUCAAUUCCAUGCUGCUUAAUUUAUUUGUUUACUUUAAGUGCAUACUUACUGUAGAGAAACCUACUGUGUGUGUGUGUGUGUUUCUUUAAUAUCAACAGAUAACAUACGUUCCUUUUCAGUUACAAAAAAAACAUACGUUCCUUUUUUUAACACAAGAUAGCAUACGUUCCUACUAUACUCUUUUAAGCUUUUAACAUUUAUUGCUCAUUUAAACCAUAUUAUAAUGUUUUCCAUUAUAGGUGGAUCAAAUAUAUUAAAAAUAUGUUUACCAAAAAAAAUAUUUAAAAUAUGGGAUAAUAUGAGAGAAUGGGUGGAGCAGAGAUUCCACGCCCUAAAUGAAGGAAAGGGAUGGGGCAGUCCCUGUCUUAGUGUACUUAUUAUAUUGAGUUGAUUACACCCAAAGACACUUUUUGUCUUUCUUUUACAUUGAGAGACACUUUCCACAUUUGACACACUUUAUGGUGGGGCCUAGGCGUUUUUUUGACAAAUUUACCCUUAAUGAGAAGGAAAAAAUGUUUGUGGACAUGGAUACUUGAAAAUUUGUGGACAUAGGUACAUAAAUGUUUGUGGACAAAACAAGUUGUGGACGAACAAUUUUAACGAACAUAUCUCUUAUACACAUCUACAUCUUGUAUAAAUGAUAUUGAUUAUAUAGAACGAAUGAUAUCGUUUGAACCAAUAAAUUGUGGAUAUACAAAUUGUGGACAGGUUGAUAUUGAUUAUAUAGAAUGAAUGGUAUCGUUUGAACCAAUGAAUUGUGGAUAUACAAAUCAUGGACGGGUUGAUAUUGAUUAUAUAGAAUGAAUAAUAUUGUUUGAAUCAACAAAUUGUGGAUAUACAAAUUGUGGACGGGUUUCUGACCUUAAUCUUGCUGAUAAAAAAGUUCAAUUUAAUAGAUCAGCGCAAGAUUACAUCAACAACCAGAAGAGAAAACACUAAUAAAAAGCAAUUCAACAUCAAUAGUCUUCAAAUUUGAGGAUUUAUGUGGAUUUAAUUCAAUCAAGCCAAGAACUUUAAAAUAGAUAAAGCUAUCUCGUUAAAGCCAAGAACUUUGUGGACAAAAAAUAUGCGUGGACGGAAGAUGUGUGGAUGAGAGAUGCGUGGAUGGGAGACGCGUGGACAUGAGAUGCGUGGACGGGAGACGCGUGGAGCCACUUACACCACCACUGUAACUACCCUCACGUCUUACACCACAGCCUCCAUAACCACCACCGCUUCCACUGCGGUAUCCAUCGCUUCCUCCACCGUAUCCACUACCACUGUAUCCACCACCAUCUCCUCCACUUGAGUAGCCACCUCCACCAACCACCACCAUUGUAUCCACACUCACGCCUUCCACCAUCACCUCCAUAACCACCACCGCCUCCAUUGCGGUAUCCAUUGCUUCCUACACCACGGCCUUCAUCGCAACCUCCAUCGUUUACGGGACUAAAUUUUGUUCAUAGGAGAGAUUGAGAUCGAGGAAUAGAGAUCGAGAUUCUGAGAUUGAGAAAUAGAGAUUGAGAUUCCGAGAUUGAGAUAAAAAGAUCGAGAAAAGACAAAAGUGAAAAAGAGUAUUAAUGACAAUUUCAGAUGGAGAAGGUUAGGGUUCAAUCUCUUUAAUCUCUCAUGUCUGAGUUCAACAUCUGGAUCUAGAAAAUGUCAGGGGAGAAAAAUUUUUCACGAUUUUGUAUAAAUUGAAGAGAUAAGGUUUGGUUAUUAGUUAGAGAAAAAAAAUAUUGUAUUUUAGAAAAAAGUAAAAAAGCAAAUCAAUUUGGUUGGUUAGAAGAAAAAGUAAAGAUGUUUCUUGUUGAGGGUUAUAUUAGUAAACCUAGCAUAAAGAAAGUGUGUUGUAUCACAAUGUGACUCUGAGUGAAAUUAAUAAGACAAAAUGUGUCUCUGAGGGUAAAAAUUUCUAUUAUAUUAGACCACAGUAUAAAUUUAAAGUUAUUCAUGGGUUCAACCUCUAGGUUCAUCAACCGAUAAGAUUUCAUUAUUUCAAAUUCGAUAUCUUUUAAAAAAGAAAACAAAAUAUUAUUAAGUUAUGUUAUGUUUUAAAGAAAAAAAGUAAAAAAAAAAUAGUAGUUACAGAAAAAAGAAUUAAAAAAAAAUAUUUUUAAAUCUUAAUCUCUAAACCCUAAAUCAUAAACUCUAAGCCCUUGGGUAAACUCUAAACCCUUGAAUAAAUCCUAAACUCUAAAUAAAAAACACUAAACACUAAAACCCUAAACCAUAAAUCAUAAACCCUAAACCCUAAAUCAUAAACCCUAAACCCUUGAGUGUUUUAGUAUUUAGUGAUUUUGUUUUAGCGUUUAAGAUUUAUCCAAAGGUUUAGAAUUUAUCGAAGGGUUUAGGAUUUAGGAUUUAGGGUUUAGAGAUUAGGAUUUAGGGUUUAGUUUGCUGACGACGUUAAAAUAUAUUUUUUGUAAUUACUACUAUUUUUUAUUUAUUUCUUUUUAAUUUUAAAGAUAUAAUAUAAUUUAACAAUAUUUUAUUUUUUUUAAGAUAUCAAAUAUGAAAUAAUACAAUCAUAUUAGUUGAAGAACCUAGAAGUUAUGAACCCAAAAAUAAAUCUACAAAAUAUACACAGUGCAUUUUUUUUAAGUAUUUCUCGAAAAAUAUUUCCAUGCAAGUCU
This 2685-nucleotide long non-coding RNA is filed under the name Brassica rapa (field mustard). Its description in RNAcentral is "long non-coding RNA (BRAP_LNC000498)". Lineage: Eukaryota; Viridiplantae; Streptophyta; Magnoliopsida; Brassicales; Brassicaceae. The record is from RNAcentral.